AGUGAACGCUGGCGGUAGGCCUAACACAUGCAAGUCGAACGGCAGCACAGUAAGAGCUUGCUCUUACGGGUGGCGAGUGGCGGACGGGUGAGGAAUACAUCGGAAUCUACUUUUUCGUGGGGGAUAACGUAGGGAAACUUACGCCAAUACCGCAUACGACCUACGGGUGAAAGCAGGGGAUCUUCGGACCUUGCGCGAUUGAAUGAGCCGAUGUCGGAUUAGCUAGUUGGCGGGGUAAAGGCCCACCAAGGCGACGAUCCGUAGCUGGUCUGAGAGGAUGAUCAGCCACACUGGAACUGAGACACGGUCCAGACUCCUACGGGAGGCAGCAGUGGGGAAUAUUGGACAAUGGGCGCAAGCCUGAUCCAGCCAUACCGCGUGGGGGAAGAAGGCUUUCGGGUUGUAAAGCCCUUUUGUUGGGAAAGAAAAGCAGCAGGUUAAUACCCCGCUGUUCUGACGGUACCCAAAGAAUAAGCACCGGCUAACUUCGUG
This 492-nucleotide ribosomal RNA is filed under the name uncultured bacterium. RNAcentral describes it as "partial 16S ribosomal RNA". It matches the Rfam family "Bacterial small subunit ribosomal RNA", at positions 29 to 507 of the family's 1533-position model. The record is from RNAcentral.